ACGGAGUUAGCCGAGGCUUCCUCGAGGGGUACCGUCAUUAUCGUCCCCUCAACAGAGGUUUACAUCCCGAAGGACUUCAUCCCUCACGCGGCGUCGCUGCGUCAAGCUUUCGCCCAUUGCGCAAAUUUCUAGA
This 133-nucleotide ribosomal RNA is filed under the name uncultured bacterium. RNAcentral's name for it is "partial 16S ribosomal RNA". The record is from RNAcentral.